Long non-coding RNA from Sarcophilus harrisii (Tasmanian devil), 1753 nucleotides. Lineage: Eukaryota; Metazoa; Chordata; Mammalia; Dasyuromorphia; Dasyuridae. The record is from Ensembl.
CAAGAUUCAGAGAAUAUAUGACAGUUGUGGUCAUUUUAUAAAUGCGAAUAAGGCAGAGAAGGUGAUGAUUUGAUCCAUGACCUUGGAUAAAUUAGGACCAUAGAUCUGAAGUUGGGAAGGGACUUUAGAAGUCGCCAGUUUUACAGAUAAACAGAUCCAGAGAGGUUAAUUGACAAAGGAUCAAAUUAGGUGUUGUUUCUUCUCCCUCAUCCCCCCCCCCCCAAACUGUCUGUGAGCAAUUGGAUGAAGUAAGGGGUAGUGCCUUCAAAUCCUUCCUCUCCCUCCUGGGAAAGAGGGGGGGCUCAGACUGAGGGCUGGGGGUGGGCAGAACAGGCCCCGACACUGAGGCUGGCUCGGAAUUGUAAUGUUACUCGUGGGUAUCAUGGUUGUCAUAUUGCAUUUGUGUGGCUUCAGUAGCUGUGGGUACCCCCGAGAGAUGAUCUAGAUAGACGACUCUAGGUACAUUUGGUUGUGUGGUGUGCCUGUGACUUUUGUGACCCCGUUCAUGGGUUUGUGACGGGUGCUGUGUGCAGGAGCCCGCAGGAAAGCACAAGGCACAGCGCGGACCGGAGGGAAAGCCGAGGGGGAGGAGGGGAGGAAGGGGAAGCCGCCCUCCCGCGCCCCCGGCUGCCCGGCCCUGGUUAAUGAUUCAGCACUGUCGGAGGCCCCUGUCCCCCGGUCCCAGACGCCGGCCUUGCGCCUCCCGCACGGCGUCACCGCGCGUUUGUGUGGCUGACCCCGUGGGUGCUGCGGGCCGGGGCCGGCUGCCCCGGGUGCCCGGCCCGAGCCGCGGCCCCCCGGCCCUAGCAAAGGGGGCUCUUUUUGCCGCGGGCGUUUGCUGGGAGCGUGGGAAAAACGAAGUUGUGUUGCCGCCUCCACCAGGACUUGGCCGGGCCACGGGCUAACGCUUUGUACGGGGGGCGGAUUGAAGAGGAGAGAACGUUCCAUCAGAAAUGAAGAGCCUGGGCUUGGACGGUGGGAUCAGAGAUUUAGGGGAGACAGAGACUUUUAGAGAAGACGGAGUCUAACCCCUCCUUUUAUAAAUGAGGAAAAGCGAAGUGCCCAGGUGAAAGCCGCAUGGAAAUAAGGAUUGAGCUGGCAUUUAGGAGCCAGCACACUUUCCAUUGGAUUAGCUUCCUCUGACUGCCCUAUGACCUUGAGCAAGCCAUUUACCUCCUCUUAGUUUCUAGGCCUAGAAAAUGAAGAAGCCAGAUUAGGUGAAGACAUCUUCCCGCCCUUAAACCAAUGGAAGCCGUUCUUUUUAUUUGAAUCGAUUGGGCAUCUGGUACUUUGUCUAGUCACUCAUCCCCUGCCAUAUUAAUGUGAGAAUUGACAAGGCCUUCGUGGGCGUUGGAUGCCAGUUCUGUAGGCCUGAAAGCGUUUUCCCCAAACCCUGUACCGUCCAAAAGUCUUGUAGGGAGGGGCAAAACAGACUCCAGGGACUUGAUGAUGACUUAAAAAAUGAUAGGUAGUUGUGGAUGUGGAAAAAGAAUUCUGAGACUAAGCUCAGUUUCUCCCGGAGGUCAUCCUGUCCAGACCUUUACCUCCUGUCAGAAUAGAAGAUGACCAGACCUAGGCUGAUAAUCUAAUUUACCUUUGUGGGUAUGCUAGUCCAAGGCCCCACCAUGUUUUCCCCUUUCAGGUUUCAGUCUGCUCUACUUUAGCUUCUCCGUUUCCAGGUGAACAUUCUGGCUACUCAUUUCCCUUUUCCCAAAUCCUACACACACACACACACACACACACACUCUCUCUC